Molecule: long non-coding RNA, 390 nt
Organism: Gallus gallus (chicken)
Lineage: Eukaryota; Metazoa; Chordata; Aves; Galliformes; Phasianidae
Source: Ensembl
CUUAUGGGGUUCUAGGGGGUCCUUAUGGGGUCCCUAUGGGGUCUUUAUGGGGUCCUAUGGGGUCUUAUGGGGUCCUAUGGGGUCUUUAUGGGGUCCUAUGGGGGCUUAAAGGGGUUCUAUGGGGUCCUAUGGGGCUCUAUGGGGGCUUAAAGUGGUCUUUAUGGGGUCUUUAUGGGGUCCUAUGGGGUCCUUAUGGGGUUUUAUGGGGUCCAAUGGGGUCCUAUGGGGCUCUAUGAGGUCUUAUGGGGUUCUAGGGGGUCCUUAUGGGGUCCCCAUGGGGUUCUAUGGGGGCUUAUGGGGUCCUUAUGGGGUCUUUAUGGGGUCCUUAUGGGGUUAAAGGGGGUUUUAUAGGGUCCUUAUGGGGUCCUUAUGGGGUUAAUUGGGGUUUAU